CGAACGCUGGCGGCAGGCCUAACACAUGCAAGUCGAGCGCUUCCCUUCGGGGAGGAGCGGCGGACGGGUUAGUAACGCGUGGGAACAUACCCUUCUCUAAGGAAUAGCCACUGGAAACGGUGAGUAAUACCUUAUACGCCCUUCGGGGGAAAGAUUUAUCGGAGAUGGAUUGGCCCGCGUUAGAUUAGAUAGUUGGUGGGGUAAUGGCCUACCAAGUCUACGAUCUAUAGCUGGUUUUAGAGGAUGAUCAGCAACACUGGGACUGAGACACGGCCCAGACUCCUACGGGAGGCAGCAGUGGGGAAUCUUAGACAAUGGGCGCAAGCCUGAUCUAGCCAUGCCGCGUGAGUGAUGAAGGCCUUAGGGUCGUAAAGCUCUUUCGCCAGGGAUGAUAAUGACAGUACCUGGUAAAGAAACCCCGGCUAACUCC
RNAcentral lists this ribosomal RNA (430 nucleotides) under uncultured bacterium. Its description in RNAcentral is "bacterial SSU rRNA". It matches the Rfam family "Bacterial small subunit ribosomal RNA", at positions 30 to 504 of the family's 1533-position model. The record is from RNAcentral.